AUCUAAGUACCCCGAGGAGAAGAAAUCAACCGAGAUUCCGAUAGUAGCGGCGAGCGAAAUUGGAUUAGCCCUUAAGCUUUACAUGCGUCAGGUGAAGGUUCUGGAAAGGACCGCGAAACAGGGUGAUAGCCCCGUAGCCGACAGCGCAUGUUCAGUGAAAUCGAGUAGGGCGGGACACGUGUUAUCCUGUCUGAAUAUGGGGGGACCAUCCUCCAAGGCUAAAUACUCCUGACUGACCGAUAGUGAACCAGUACCGUGAGGGAAAGGCGAAAAGAACCCCUGUGAGGGGAGUGAAAUAGAACCUGAAACCGUGUACGUACAAGCAGUAGGAGCCUCUUCGUGGGGUGACUGCGUACCUUUUGUAUAAUGGGUCAGCGACUUAUAUUCAGUGGCAAGGUUAACCAUUUAGGGGAGCCGUAGGGAAACCGAGUCUUAACUGGGCGUUCAGUCUCUGGAUAUAGACCCGAAACCGGGUGAUCUAGCCAUGGGCAGGUUGAAGGUUGAGUAACAUCAACUGGAGGACCGAACCGACUAAUGUUGAAAAAUUAGCGGAUGACUUGUGGCUAGGGGUGAAAGGCCAAUCAAACUCGGAGAUAGCUGGUUCUCCCCGAAAGCUAUUUAGGUAGCGCCUCGGACGAAUACUACUGGGGGUAGAGCACUGUUAAGGCUAGGGGGUCAUCCCGACUUACCAACCCUUUGCAAACUCCGAAUACCAGUAAGUACUAUCCGGGAGACACACGGCGGGUGCUAACGUCCGUCGUGGAGAGGGAAACAACCCAGACCGCCAGCUAAGGUCCCAAAUUACAGCUAAGUGGGAAACGAUGUGGGAAGGCUCAGACAGCUAGGAUGUUGGCUUAGAAGCAGCCAUCAUUUAAAGAAAGCGUAAUAGCUCACUAGUCGAGUCGGCCUGCGCGGAAGAUGUAACGGGGCUAAGCUGUAAACCGAAGCUGCGGCAAUGCGAUUUAUCGUAUUGGGUAGGGGAGCGUUCUGUAAGCCGUUGAAGGUGUGUUGUAAAGCAUGCUGGAGGUAUCAGAAGUGCGAAUGCUGACAUGAGUAACGACAAGGGGGGUGAAAAACCUCCCCGCCGGAAGACCAAGGGUUCCUGUCCAACGUUAAUCGGGGCAGGGUAAGUCGACCCCUAAGGCGAGGCCGAAAGGCGUAGUCGAUGGGAAACGGGUUAAUAUUCCCGUACUUCUUACAAUUGCGAUGGGGGGACGGAGAAGGCUAGGUGGGCCUGGCGACGGUUGUCCAGGUUCAAGUGCGUAGGCUUGAGGGUUAGGUAAAUCCGGCUCUCUUUAAGGCUGAGACACGACGUCGAGCUACUACGGUAGUGAAGUCAUUGAUGCCAUGCUUCCAGGAAAAGCCUCUAAGCUUCAGAUUGUAAGGAAUCGUACCCCAAACCGACACAGGUGGUCGGGUAGAGAAUACCAAGGCGCUUGAGAGAACUCGGGUGAAGGAACUAGGCAAAAUGGUACCGUAACUUCGGGAGAAGGUACGCUCUUGAUGGUGAAGUCCCUCGCGGAUGGAGCUGAUGAGAGUCGCAGAUACCAGGUGGCUGCAACUGUUUAUUAAAAACACAGCACUGUGCAAAAUCGUAAGAUGACGUAUACGGUGUGACGCCUGCCCGGUGCCGGAAGGUUAAUUGAUGGGGUUAGCGUAAGCGAAGCUCUUGAUCGAAGCCCCGGUAAACGGCGGCCGUAACUAUAACGGUCCUAAGGUAGCGAAAUUCCUUGUCGGGUAAGUUCCGACCUGCACGAAUGGCGUAAUGAUGGCCACGCUGUCUCCACCCGAGACUCAGUGAAAUUGAAAUCGCUGUGAAGAUGCAGUGUACCCGCGGCUAGACGGAAAGACCCCGUGAACCUUUACUACAGCUUGGCACUGAACAUUGAACCUACAUGUGUAGGA
This 1905-nucleotide ribosomal RNA is filed under the name Vibrio fluvialis. Its description in RNAcentral is "partial 23S ribosomal RNA". It matches the Rfam family "Bacterial large subunit ribosomal RNA", at positions 200 to 2143 of the family's 2925-position model. The record is from RNAcentral. Lineage: Bacteria; Pseudomonadati; Pseudomonadota; Gammaproteobacteria; Vibrionales; Vibrionaceae.